CCCCCACAUCCAGAGGGGCCUGACCCUUGGGGGCGGGGCCACAUCCCGGGCAGGGGUCAAGGCCUGGGGGCGGGGCCUGCAUUGCAGCAGAUCCAGCUUUUGUAGGCAGCGACUGCCUCUCAGGAUCCUAGGUCUCAAAGCCAGAGCUCGGUAUUCUGCUCACAAAAGAGAUUGUGACAGGGCUUUCUGGCAGUCUGAGAGACUUUUCCACCUCCCCUCCUGCGGCGCUCCACCAAGUAUCGCUUCACCUCAGUCUGUUGGGGCCUUGGUUCAGGCUGCGGCCUACCAAGGCUUUGAAGGGCCCCAGAGGCCCUGAGCACGGGACCCGCGCUCUCUGCCUGAACUUCAACAUCUUCGUCGCCAUCACUGUAAUGCUGACUGCAGUCUAGUGAGCGCUAGGUUUAAAGACCAAAUAACCUUGAAGUUUAGCAGCUUGAAACAACACACAUUUGAAAGUAUGUCAUACUUUCUGAAGGUUAGAGAUCCAGGAAUAGCCUAUGUACAUCCUUUGCUUUAGGAUCUCUCAGAAGGCUGCAGUCAGGGUGCUCACUGAACUGUCUGGUGAGUAUAGCAGCCACCAGCUGAGGCUUAGCCUGAAGCUUGAGGACCGACUUGGUGGCAUUCUAGCCACACUGGCUCCUGACAGAUUCCAGCAUUCAUCAGCCAUGCUUCAUUUUAGAGCUUGCUCCUACCUUGUCUUUGCCCAGAGUGCAUACUCAAAGCUGGUUGCAUGACUGGUUCUGAGUCCUGACUUAAAAGGACUGGUUCUGACUGACCUGUCUGAAUUGUGCCCUUACUCCAGUUUCUAUACAUAGUAAUUGCUCUGAACUCUUCUCACUAUUUUAGUUCAUUUGUUAAUUUUUUUUUGGUUAGCUGAACUAUUAUCUGUUUUUUUUUGCCGUAGUAAUGUUAACCCCAGGAGGGGAGAAAUUUUAUUUGUCUUGAUUAAAGUUAUAUAUCCAUGGCCUAAAUCUAUGUCUGUCAUACUGUAGGCACCCAAAAAACAGUUGUUUAAUUAGUAAUGAAUGUCUGUGUAUUCAUUUACUUACAAUUUGGCUGUGCUGCACUGCAGUGGGAUCUCAGUUUCCCAACCAGGGAUCAAACUGCACCCUCUGAUGGAAGUGCAGAGUCUUAACUGUGGGCCUGCCAUGGAAGUCACAGUAAUGAAUUUAUGUUUAAAAUCAAAUUUCAAUAUUUUACCUAUG
This 1205-nucleotide long non-coding RNA is filed under the name Capra hircus (goat). RNAcentral's name for it is "lncRNA (ENSCHIG00000008132.1)". The record is from RNAcentral. Lineage: Eukaryota; Metazoa; Chordata; Mammalia; Artiodactyla; Bovidae.